AUUAUCUAACCACUAUGGAAUAAAAAUAGAAAUCAAUAAUAAGAGGAACUUUAGAAAUUAUAUAAAUACAUAAAAUGUAAACAAAUGCACCUGAAUGAACAAAGGGUGAGUGAAGAAAUUUUAAAAAAAAUUUUAAUGUCUUGAAACAAAUAAAAAUGGAUAUACAACAUAACAAAACCUACGGGCUACUGUGAAUGCAGUACCAAGAGGAAAGUUUAUAGCAAUAAUUGCUUACAUCAAAAAAAUACAAAAAUUUCAAACAAACAAUGCACCUAAAGGUGCAUGUUAAAAGCAUUAUUGAAAAUAUUAUUGGACAUAUUACUGAAAAUGAUGCUUUUAGAAUUGCAUUGAGAAUAUAUUUGAUAGGAUUUCUACCUUUAAAAAUUUGAUGAGACUUAUUUUGUGGCCUAACAUAUUACAUAUUCUGGAUAAUACAUAAUACAUUUAUGUAUUCUGGAUAAUUCCAUGUGCUGAUAAGAAUGUGAGCCUGAGCAACAUAGUGGGACCCUGUCUCUACAAAAGGUAAGUUCAAGUUGGUCUUGAACUGCCUUUCCCACACUGGAAUAGCAACAGCCAAACCCAAUAUUAUUAGAAGGAAAGCAGUAAUAAAGAUCAGAUCAAAAAUUUACUCCAAAUACUGAAGAAAUUUUUAGAUAUAAACUUCUGUAGACCUCAGUGAAGCUAAUGAGAACACAAAAUCUUUUAAAACAAGAUCACAAAGAAAAUCACCAAAUAAAAAAUACAAAUGAGGCCAGGCGCAGUGGCUCACGCCUGUAAUCCCAGCACUUUGGGAGGCUGAGGUGGGCG
RNAcentral lists this long non-coding RNA (807 nucleotides) under Homo sapiens (human). RNAcentral's name for it is "HSALNT0010678". The record is from RNAcentral. Lineage: Eukaryota; Metazoa; Chordata; Mammalia; Primates; Hominidae.